CUCGUAGGUGGCCGCCCUCAGUCCGACGUGAAAUCCCUCGGCUCAACCGGGGAACUGCGUCGGAUACUGGGUGGCUUGAAUCCGGGAGAGGGACGUGGAAUUCCAGGUGUAGCGGUGAAAUGCGUAGAUAUCUGGAGGAACACCGGUGGCGAAGGCGGCGUCCUGGACCGGUAUUGACACUGAGGAGCGAAAGCCAGGGGAGCAAACGG
Molecule: ribosomal RNA, 209 nt
Filed under: uncultured Acidobacteriota bacterium
Lineage: Bacteria; Pseudomonadati; Acidobacteriota
Description: uncultured Acidobacteria bacterium partial 16S ribosomal RNA
Rfam family: Bacterial small subunit ribosomal RNA
Source: RNAcentral